UGGGGAAUAUUGGGCAAUGGGCGAAAGCCUGACCCAGCAACGCCGCGUGAAGUAUGAAGGCCUUCGGGUUGUAAACUUCUUUGAUCAGGGAAGAAACAAAUGACGGUACCUGAAAAACAAGCCCCGGCUAACUACGUGCCAGCAGCCGCGGUAAUACGUAGGGGGCUAGCGUUGUCCGGAAUCACUGGGCGUAAAGGGUUCGCAGGCGGAAAUGCAAGUCAGGUGUAAAAGGCAGUAGCUUAACUACUGUAAGCAUUUGAAACUGCAUAUCUUGAGAAGAGUAGAGGUAAGUGGAAUUUUUAGUGUAGCGGUGAAAUGCGUAGAUAUUAAAAAGAAUACCGGUGGCGAAGGCGACUUACUGGGCUCAUUCUGACGCUGAGGAACGAAAGCGUGGGUAGCAAACAGG
This 406-nucleotide ribosomal RNA is filed under the name Verrucomicrobiota bacterium. RNAcentral's name for it is "Verrucomicrobia bacterium partial 16S ribosomal RNA". It matches the Rfam family "Bacterial small subunit ribosomal RNA", at positions 355 to 776 of the family's 1533-position model. Lineage: Bacteria; Pseudomonadati; Verrucomicrobiota. The record is from RNAcentral.